RNAcentral lists this ribosomal RNA (253 nucleotides) under uncultured bacterium. RNAcentral describes it as "partial 16S ribosomal RNA". It matches the Rfam family "Bacterial small subunit ribosomal RNA", at positions 524 to 776 of the family's 1533-position model. The record is from RNAcentral.
UACAGAGGGUGCAAGCGUUGUUCGGAAUUAUUGGGCGUAAAGGGCGCGUAGGCGGUGCGGUAAGUCUGCAGUGAAAUCUCUGGGCUCAACUCAGAGUCUGCUGUAGAAACUGCCGUGCUUGAGGACUGGAGAGGAGACUGGAAUUUACGGUGUAGCGGUGAAAUGCGUAGAUAUCGUAAGGAAGACCAGUGGCGAAGGCGGGUCUCUGGACAGUUCCUGACGCUGAGGCACGAAGGUCAGGGGAGCAAACGGG